This 450-nucleotide ribosomal RNA is filed under the name uncultured bacterium. Its description in RNAcentral is "bacterial SSU rRNA". It matches the Rfam family "Bacterial small subunit ribosomal RNA", at positions 328 to 793 of the family's 1533-position model. The record is from RNAcentral.
AGCCCAGACUCCUACGGGAGGCAGCAGUGGGGAAUAUUGCACAAUGGGGGAAACCCUGAUGCAGCAACGCCGCGUGAGUGAAGAAGUAUUUCGGUAUGUAAAGCUCUAUCAGCAGGGAAGAGAAUGACGGUACCUGACUAAGAAGCCCCGGCUAACUACGUGCCAGCAGCCGCGGUAAUACGUAGGGGGCAAGCGUUAUCCGGAUUUACUGGGUGUAAAGGGGGCGCAGACGGCGAUGCAAGCCAGGAGUGAAAGCCCGGGGCCCAACCCCGGGACUGCUCUUGGAACUGCGUGGCUGGAGUGCAGGAGGGGCAGGCGGAAUUCCUGGUGUAGCGGUGAAAUGCGUAGAUAUCAGGAGGAACACCGGUGGCGAAGGCGGCCUGCUGGACUGCAACUGACGUUGAGGCCCGAAAGCGUGGGGAGCAAACAGGAUUAGAUACCCCAGUACGG